CGGGGCGUAGCGCAGUUUGGCUAGCGCGCACGGUUCGGGACCGUGAGGUCGGAGGUUCAAGUCCUCUCGCCCCGACCA
RNAcentral lists this transfer RNA (78 nucleotides) under Bacillota bacterium. RNAcentral's name for it is "tRNA-Pro". It matches the Rfam family "tRNA". From Rfam's summary of the family: Transfer RNA (tRNA) molecules are approximately 80 nucleotides in length. Their secondary structure includes four short double-helical elements and three loops (D, anti-codon, and T loops). Further hydrogen bonds mediate the characteristic L-shaped molecular structure. tRNAs have two regions of fundamental functional importance: the anti-codon, which is responsible for specific mRNA codon recognition, and the 3' end, to which the tRNAs corresponding amino acid is attached (by aminoacyl-tRNA synthetases). tRNAs cope with the degeneracy of the genetic code in two manners: having more than one tRNA (with a specific anti-codon) for a particular amino acid; and 'wobble' base-pairing, i.e. permitting non-standard base-pairing at the 3rd anti-codon position. Lineage: Bacteria; Bacillati; Bacillota. The record is from RNAcentral.